This 501-nucleotide ribosomal RNA is filed under the name uncultured bacterium. RNAcentral's name for it is "partial 16S ribosomal RNA". It matches the Rfam family "Bacterial small subunit ribosomal RNA", at positions 30 to 523 of the family's 1533-position model. The record is from RNAcentral.
AUUGAACGCUGGCGGCAUGCCUUACACAUGCAAGUCGAACGGCAGCACGGGUGCUUGCACCUGGUGGCGAGUGGCGAACGGGUGAGUAAUAUAUCGGAACGUACCUUAUUGUGGGGGAUAACGCAGCGAAAGCUGUGCUAAUACCGCAUAAUCCCUAAGGGGGAAAGCGGGGGACCGUAAGGCCUCGCGCAAUUAGAGCGGCCGAUACCUGAUUAGCUAGUUGGUGAGGUAAAGGCUCACCAAGGCAACGAUCAGUAGCUGGUCUGAGAGGACGAUCGGCCACACUGGGACUGGGACACGGCCCAGACUCCUACGGGAGGCAGCAGUGGGGAAUUUUGGACAAUGGGGGCAACCCUGAUCCAGCAAUGCCGCGUGAGUGAAGAAGGCCUUCGGGUUGUAAAGCUCUUUUGUCAGGGAAGAAACAGCAGCUCUAACACAGUAUGCGAAUGACGGUACCUGAAGAAUAAGCACCGGCUAACUACGUGCCAGCCGCCGCGGUAA